This 520-nucleotide long non-coding RNA is filed under the name Mytilus galloprovincialis (Mediterranean mussel). Lineage: Eukaryota; Metazoa; Mollusca; Bivalvia; Mytilida; Mytilidae. The record is from RNAcentral.
CGAUUUUGACUUUUACCGUUCAGGAGUUACGGUUCUUGAAAGUUUAAAAAAUGUUGUGUCCGUGCAUUUACUCAUGAACCGUUCAACCAUACCUUUUAAAAUUUUAAUAUGUUGUUACUGACAACAUAACGGAGGUCAAGUUCAAUAAUGACGAUUUUUACUUUUACCGUUCAGGAGUUACGGUUCUUGAAAGUUUAAAAAAUGUCGUGUCCGUGCAUUUACUCAUGAACCAGUCAACCAAACCUUUUAAAAUUUUAAUAUGUUGUUACUGACAACAAAAUGGAGGUCAAGUUCGAAAUCCUAGGUAGAUGGACUUAGUAAUUUUUUCUUACUUUAUGCAUUAAGGGCACACAGUUUGUCCUGCUAGAGGGUCAUUUUCUAUCUAGUUUAUAUGUUGUUAUUGUUGACAACAUGGAAGUCAAGUUUGAUAUUGAUAAUCAUAAAUUUUACCUAUUAGGAGUUUUGGUCCUUGUAAUAUUGAUAAAUGUCAGAACACAAAUAAAUGUUAAAGAAUCCGAUU